This 69-nucleotide transfer RNA is filed under the name Triticum aestivum (bread wheat). It matches the Rfam family "tRNA". From Rfam's summary of the family: Transfer RNA (tRNA) molecules are approximately 80 nucleotides in length. Their secondary structure includes four short double-helical elements and three loops (D, anti-codon, and T loops). The record is from Rfam by way of RNAcentral. Lineage: Eukaryota; Viridiplantae; Streptophyta; Magnoliopsida; Poales; Poaceae.
UCCAUUGCUCAGUUGGUAAAGCAUAAAGCUCUUAACCUUGUGGAUGUGGGUUCAAGACCUACGAUGGAA